AUGGCUCGAACUAAGUGCACAGCCCGUAAGUCCACCGGCGGAAAGGCUCCGACGAAGCACCUUGCUGCCGCUCGUAAGACUGCUCCCGCCACUAGAGGAGUGAAGAAGCCUCGCCGAUAUCGCCCUGGAACUGUUGCUCUUGGUGAAAUCCGCAAAUAUCAGAAGGGCACGGAGCUACUUAUAAGGAAGCUACCGUUCCAGAGACUUGUCAGGGAGAUUGCCCAAUUUUGCAAGAGUGAUCUACAUUUCCAGAGCCAUGUUGUGCUUGCUUUGCUGGAGGCAGCCGAAGCAUACUUGGUGGGACUGUUUGAAGACAAUAAUCUAUGUGCCGUCCAUGCUAAACGUGUGACCACUAUGUCCAAAGAUGUGUAUUUGGCUAGGAGGAUCCGCGGUGAGAGGCUGUAA
This 405-nucleotide ribosomal RNA is filed under the name Triticum aestivum (bread wheat). RNAcentral describes it as "partial small subunit ribosomal RNA". Lineage: Eukaryota; Viridiplantae; Streptophyta; Magnoliopsida; Poales; Poaceae. The record is from RNAcentral.